This 1308-nucleotide long non-coding RNA is filed under the name Oncorhynchus kisutch (coho salmon). RNAcentral describes it as "lncRNA (ENSOKIG00005041687.1)". The record is from RNAcentral. Lineage: Eukaryota; Metazoa; Chordata; Actinopteri; Salmoniformes; Salmonidae.
UUUGGCAUUCGAUUUGGUGUGUUUUCUAAUAACGUGUGUGUGUGUGUGUGUGUGUGGUAAACAGGUGUGUGUGUUUUGAGCAGCAGACUGAUGUCUCAGUGGUGUACGCCACUCUCCACAUGGGGCUGGACGGGCUUCUCUCCUCUUCAGCGUGGUCGGAGGCUGCCUCCUUCUCUACUCCCACCACUCAGCAGUUCACUGACCCAGAGCCUGAGGGCCACAACUGCUAUGAGGGCUGGGAGGAGGACCUGCUGCCUGAGGAGAGGGAGGUUCCUCUGCUAAAAGAGUGGAGGACAUCGCCCUGAGGCUCGUCUCCUUGCGCCAGGCCUUCACUGUGAGUGGACCCACUGUUCUUUUUGUCUCUAUGACUUCUUGUUCUGUCUCCAAGAGGAAGAGGUCUCACCCUAACUCUUCCCUCUUCCCUAGACCCUGCUUGGUUCCACCCUGAGCAGGAACCAUCUGUUUGUGGCGGGAAAGGUCCUCCUGGGCGGCCUUGUUCAGGCCAACCACAUGGACGAGGCCAAAUUCAUCCGUACCUAUAAUGACUUUGUGGACUACCUGAGUGACCCCUCCAAGCGGAAUGACAUUGCGAGGGAGCUGGCUGAGGCAAAGAUCCAUCAUGUGAACAUGAUAGAUGUCCUCUUUGAGCUGGUGCUGUUUAGGAUGAUGACAGCUCAGAAGUCCCUGAUGGUGCACCAUGGUGGGUUCGUGGAGCGUCUGUACGCUCUCCUGUACUCCUUCCUGCCCACUGCUGCCAACAUGGAGCCAGAGGCUGAUAGAUACCUACUGCUGCUCAAUGUAAGAGUCAAGAGGUUACUUCCUGUUUACUUCCAUAUUCUUAGUGUACUUCCUUUUGACUUCCUUAUUCAUGGUUAACCAGGUUUCAAUGCCAUUUUAGGGGGAGUAUUUCUAAUUGUCUCUCUCCUCUUGAUAAGCUAGUAACUCAGAUCCCAUUUUCUAUGUGUUGUGUGGUGUUCUCUUCAGGGUGGACUGAUGGCUCUGCUAGAUGACAUGUUUGGCCAGCAGCUGGCCUGGUACUUUAACCCAGAGUCUCUGGUCACUGAGCUCUCCACCCUCCUGGAGUACCACUUGGAGAACCUCAUGGCCAGGCAUGUAGUCCUACUGCAGGGACCAUACUCCUUUCUCCUUCUCUCUCUCUUUUGAAGGAAUUGAGGACUUGAAGUGCUUGUUGAACCCUGAUUAGUUAACACCCAUUAAUUUAAUGUAUUCUCUGUUUUCUCUCCCCACAGAUCUUGUGACACUUUGCCACCCAACAGGAUCUAGACACCAAUGCACUACAUUACUUUG